GGAGUGGGUUAGGUGAUCGCUUAUUCCUGCGUGGGCCAGGGAAUGGGAGGAAAGUCCGGACUCCACAGGGCAGGGUGCUGGGUAACGCCCAGGCGGAGCAAUCCGACAUGAGCGCCACAGAAAACAUACCGCCAGUGACUGGGUCUUUCGAGAUCCUCUCAGGUAAGGGUGAAAUGGUGGGGUAAGAGCCCACCGCAUUCAUGGCGACAUGAAUGGCAGGGCAAGCAUCACCCGGAGCAAGACCAAAUAGGGGAACGAACCGAACGGGGUAUUCUUCAUCCUCAUGCUUGAGGCCCUUCUGGGUGAAGAAUUUACCAUCAUGUUCGAGAGAGGUCGGCCCGGCCGAAGUUCCCGGGUAGGUUGCUAGAAGCCUACGGUAACGUGGGUUCCAGAGACAUGAUCACCCUCAUGUAUUGAUACAUGGGACAGAAUCCGGCUUAUCGACCCACUCCAUGC
This 456-nucleotide RNase P RNA is filed under the name Candidatus Nitronereus thalassa. Its description in RNAcentral is "RNase P RNA component class A". It matches the Rfam family "Bacterial RNase P class A". From Rfam's summary of the family: Ribonuclease P (RNase P) is a ubiquitous endoribonuclease, found in archaea, bacteria and eukarya as well as chloroplasts and mitochondria. Its best characterised activity is the generation of mature 5'-ends of tRNAs by cleaving the 5'-leader elements of precursor-tRNAs. Cellular RNase Ps are ribonucleoproteins. The record is from RNAcentral. Lineage: Bacteria; Pseudomonadati; Nitrospirota; Nitrospiria; Nitrospirales; Nitrospiraceae.